This is a long non-coding RNA of Cygnus olor (mute swan), 2807 nucleotides long. RefSeq lists it as uncharacterized. Lineage: Eukaryota; Metazoa; Chordata; Aves; Anseriformes; Anatidae. The record is from RefSeq and is a predicted model, not a curated record. The transcript has 2 exons.
AACUAUGUCCUGAUUUGCUUUUCAAAAGCAGUGUAAUGCAAUAAUAACUUUUGUGCACGUAUAUAUGAAGAUAUGAUGCAGACACCCCGCAAAUACUGUCCCACAGCUUUUACACAGCCACCUGUGCAAUGAGCUCCAGGCUCGAAGGGAGCUCCCUCUUUUAGCAAAGAGAUGAUCUGAAAUGACUGCAGAAUUCACCCAGAUAGCUAUGGCUCCAGUUGCACUGGCCAGGCGCAGGACAUUUUCUGUCCCCAGGCAGUCCCACACCCACACAGCUGCCCAAUUGUGGUGCUGUUUCCCACAGGAGGGACCCCAGUGUCCCGAGGCACCCCUGUGGCAGCCCCCUCGGCCCAGCUCGGUUCCUGUGGUUGUGCUUGUGACUUGGCGUGUGGCUGCUGGGGGACAGACCUCCUCAAUGUGUCCUGGUGGAUUCAAGUUGCUUCUCAACACGAGAUGUAUUAUUGCAAGCGGAGUCAGUGCUGUACCUGAGUAACUGCUGUAGGAGAAAACUGCUAUAGGUUAGAGUCAAACAUUUGCAAGUCGGCGAAGUCAGAACUGAAAAUUUGCAAAUUCCUUUCAGACCACUGGGGCGUAUAAUGAAAGGCCGUGUGCAGCUAGAGCUCACCAUAGACCUUCCUUGGCUUCACCAACCUCACAGGAUAGACACUGCGCACUCUCAGAGCACAUUUUCAGUAUUUUCUUUUUUCACUGAGUGCCCAGUCCCUGGUUUUCAUCAGUGUGUCACUGUACCCUGUCCAGACUCUGUGCCAGCCACAACUCCAUGAAGUCUUUUUCCUAGGUGUCUCUGCUCACCUACUCCAGAGGUUUUUUCCAUCUGGCUUAUCCCCACCUCUGGGCAGGAUGAUCCAAUCCCCACUUUAGUGGUGGCCAGCAGACGCAAGAAAGCAAAAAGAAACGAGAGGUAACGCAAAGCCAGUGACUCAGCAGGAAAGCUAGCUUUCUUCCAGCAACUUCCAAGCCCUUUGGCCAGGAGACCAGUCCUUCUCUUCCUGCAGUCUCCUGCCCACUCGUCGCACACUCCAGCUUCCGCAGAAAAACACCGUGCUGCUUCCUGCCAGUCCUGACUCAUUCCUGGGGGGACGUGGUAAAUGCUGGGCACCGGGGGAAAAACAUGACGCGGUUCGUGUGAGGAAAGGCCGCAGGAGAACAGCAUGAAUGAGAACAGACACACUGAAGCUGCACAGGUCUUCAGAAAGAUGGAAAAAAGAGGAAUUUUGUUGCACUGGGUCGCCCCUGCCAGGGAUUAUGGGCAAGCUUGGGGACAAGGUGGCACUCUCACAGUCCUCUGCCACCCAAGCAGACUGAGCAGGUCACUGUCCCCUGUAUGGGCAGCCCUGCGAGACAACAGGGCAAUUUAACCACAAUUUUCUGUCUAUUUUCUGUCAUCUGAGCCAUGAGGAUCACAGACCAAGGCUCCUCCAUGGGUCUGAAGAAGAGUGCACAGCUGCUCUGAGGUGUCUCUGGACCUGCCCCAGCAAGGGUGUUGUCACCGUGGCGCAUGUUUGGAAAUAGCUGGGAAAUAUUAGCAGCUUCUUAAGAAUUCCUCCCAGUCAAGACAGCUGCCAUGGCAAUUUAUUUUCAAAUUAUAAACAGGUCUGGAGGAGGCUGUAUAAUGAGGAGUUGGGGGAAACUUUUCUGACAGGCAGCGUGAGCAGCAUUGCUUGAUCAGGACAAGUUACACCCAUGUGAGUGCAGCUUGGGGAAGCAUUAAAAAGGUUUAACCUCAGUGAUUCCCUUGGUCUAGCUGCACUGAAGGACAUUCUCCUAUAGAAGACUCCUUAACUGUGUCUCAAUUUGCAAGACUAACAAUAGUAUAAAACAUUUUUCAUCUUCGUGUACAUUUGCAGGGAUGAAUCAAUCCCCACAAUACUAUCCUGGAUAGAUAGAAAUGUGCUUGCUGCUUUCCAGACACAUAGGAAGGGAACUGUCCCUUCCCACAGGCGUGCAUCCCCAUGCCAGCACUGGUGCCAAGGGGGCAGCUGAGUCUUGAACUCUUAGAAAGGAGCAGCUCACGGGAUGAAGGGAGAUUGCAAAAGUCACAGAGCAAACACCUCCAGUGCGUUAUGACACUACAGUCCCCAGGUCCCUGGCAAUGUCCUGGGGGAUAUGCCCAAUAUUAUGGUGGUUGGGGAAUAUCUGCAUGUUUCUGCCUGUGCUUGUAGCAGGAGCUGUGUUGAGACUGGCUCACAUAACAGCAGUGCUUGGUCUAACCAGAAACCCUGAUACAGUGGUGAACACAUUGCAAAUACGUGGGCAGGUUCCCACCAGCACACAGCCAACACAUGGAAGCACCUGGAGUUUAAUUGGGAUGGUUCUUUUCUCAGCCCCUGAUUUUCAGUCACCUGGUCUGCCCCUUCCUGGAGGACCUGGAGUGAGUUUUCGUCCAGGAAAAACAAAAACAAAAUCAAACAAAAACAAACAAACAAAACAAACAAACAAACAAAAACCAACCACAAAGCAAAACAAAACAAAGUACCCUGAGGGACUGUAAUGAACCAGCUAUAUUGAAAACAAGAAAGCACUUUUAUGUGUUAUAAUAUCAUUCACUACAAAUACCUAGUUCAGCUUCAAACUCUAAUCCCUACAUAAUGUUUGACCUGCAGAUUCAGUGUGACAAAUGUAAUAAUAGCUGGUGCUAUCCUCUGUGUAAAGAUGAUCUCUGGGGCUACCUGCUUGAAUGCACCAUAAAAUAUAGUUUCACAUAACAUAAAAGAGCUCUGCAGCAUGGCAGCUUCUUAAUAAACUGUUACUGCAUGAAAAUAUGAAUAAAUCAUAUCAGAGCAAAA